RNAcentral lists this ribosomal RNA (632 nucleotides) under uncultured Lachnospiraceae bacterium. Its description in RNAcentral is "bacterial SSU rRNA". It matches the Rfam family "Bacterial small subunit ribosomal RNA", at positions 28 to 664 of the family's 1533-position model. Lineage: Bacteria; Bacillati; Bacillota; Clostridia; Lachnospirales; Lachnospiraceae. The record is from RNAcentral.
GAUGAACGCUGGCGGCGUGCUUAACACAUGCAAGUCGAACGAAGCUGCCUGGAGGAAGUUUUCGGAUGGAAUUUAGGUAGACUUAGUGGCGGACGGGUGAGUAACGCGUGGAUAACCUGCCUUAUACAGGGGGAUAACGGAGAGAAAUUUCCGCUAACACCGCAUAAGACCACAGCACCGCAUGGUGCAGGGGUAAAUAUUUAUAGGUAUAAGAUGGUUCCGCGUCCGAUUAGUAGUUGGUGAGGUAAAGGCCACCAAGGCGACGAUCGGUAGCCGGCCUGAGAGGGGAACGGCACAUUGGGACUGAGAACGGCCCAACUCCUCGGGAGGCAGCAGUGGGGAAUAUUGGACAAUGGGGGAACCCUAAUCCAGGACGCCGCGUGAGUGAAGAAGAUUUCGGUAUGUAAAGCUCUAUCGGCGGGAAGAAAUGACGGUACCUGACUAAGAAGCCCCCGGCUAACUACGUGCCAGCAGCUGCGGUAGUACGUUAGGGGGGCAAGCGUUAUUCCGGAUUUAGCUGGGGUGUAAAGGGAGCGCAAACGGCAUUCAAACUCUGAGGGGAAAAGGCGCGGGUCUCAACCCAUGAAAAUAUUUUGUAAAUUUGUUUGCUUGAGUGGCGGUGGGGGUAAGCG